Dunckerocampus dactyliophorus (ringed pipefish) is the source of this 95-nucleotide small nucleolar RNA. RefSeq annotates it as small nucleolar SNORD12/SNORD106. NCBI's taxonomy places the organism in Eukaryota, Metazoa, Chordata, Actinopteri, Syngnathiformes, Syngnathidae. The transcript has a single exon. The record is from RefSeq and is a predicted model, not a curated record.
AAUGUGGUUAAUGAUGCACAACUUUUUUCCCCGUCAUAUCGACCAUGGUGAAAGAAAACACAAAACCAAAAGCCAAUUUUGUCUGAAACCACAGU